RNAcentral lists this ribosomal RNA (197 nucleotides) under uncultured bacterium. Its description in RNAcentral is "partial 16S ribosomal RNA". It matches the Rfam family "Bacterial small subunit ribosomal RNA", at positions 328 to 539 of the family's 1533-position model. The record is from RNAcentral.
ACGCUCGACACCUACGGGGGCAGCAGUGGGGAAUAUUGCACAAUGGGGGAAACCCUGAUGCAGCGACGCCGCGUGAGUGAAGAAGUAUUUCGGUAUGUAAAGCUCUAUCAGCAGGGAAGAAAAUGACGGUACCUGACUAAGAAGCCCCGGCUAACUACGUGCCUGCAGCCGCGGUAAUCUGAGCGGGCUGGCAAGGC